RNAcentral lists this ribosomal RNA (1346 nucleotides) under uncultured bacterium. RNAcentral's name for it is "bacterial SSU rRNA". It matches the Rfam family "Bacterial small subunit ribosomal RNA", at positions 28 to 1381 of the family's 1533-position model. The record is from RNAcentral.
GACGAACGCUUGCGGCGUGCUUAACACAUGCAAGUCGAACGGAAAGGCCCUGCUUUUGUGGGGUGCUCGAGUGGCGAACGGGUGAGUAACACGUGAGUAACCUGCCCUUGACUUUGGGAUAACUUCAGGAAACUGGGGCUAAUACCGGAUAGGAGCUCCUGCUGCAUGGUGGGGGUUGGAAAGUUUCGGCGGUUGGGGAUGGACUCGCGGCUUAUCAGCUUGUUGGUGGGGUAGUGGCUUACCAAGGCUUUGACGGGUAGCCGGCCUGAGAGGGUGACCGGCCACAUUGGGACUGAGAUACGGCCCAGACUCCUACGGGAGGCAGCAGUGGGGAAUAUUGCACAAUGGGCGGAAGCCUGAUGCAGCAACGCCGCGUGCGGGAUGACGGCCUUCGGGUUGUAAACCGCUUUCGCCUGUGACGAAGCGUGAGUGACGGUAAUGGGUAAAGAAGCACCGGCUAACUACGUGCCAGCAGCCGCGGUGAUACGUAGGGCGCGAGCGUUGUCCGGAUUUAUUGGGCGUAAAGGGCUCGUAGGUGGUUGAUCGCGUCGGAAGUGUAAUCUUGGGGCUUAACCCUGAGCGUGCUUUCGAUACGGGUUGACUUGAGGAAGGUAGGGGAGAAUGGAAUUCCUGGUGGAGCGGUGGAAUGCGCAGAUAUCAGGAGGAACACCAGUGGCGAAGGCGGUUCUCUGGGCCUUUCCUGACGCUGAGGAGCGAAAGCGUGGGGAGCGAACAGGCUUAGAUACCCUGGUAGUCCACGCUGUAAACGGUGGGUACUAGGUGUGGGGUCCAUUCCACGGGUUCCGUGCCGUAGCUAACGCUUUAAGUACCCCGCCUGGGGAGUACGGCCGCAAGGCUAAAACUCAAAGGAAUUGACGGGGCCCCGCACAAGCGGCGGAGCAUGCGGAUUAAUUCGAUGCAACGCGUAGAACCUUACCUGGGUUUGACAUGGAUCGGGAGUACUCAGAGAUGGGUGUGCCUCUUUUGGGGUCGGUUCACAGGUGGUGCAUGGCUGUCGUCAGCUCGUGUCGUGAGGUGUUGGGUUAAGUCCCGCAACGAGCGCAACCCUUGUUCACUGUUGCCAGCACGUUAUGGUGGGGACUCAGUGGAGACCGCCGGGGUCAACUCGGAGGAAGGUGGGGAUGACGUCAAGUCAUCAUGCCCCUUAUGUCCAGGGCUUCACGCAUGCUACAAUGGCUGGUACAGAGAGUGGCGAGCCUGUGAGGGUGAGCGAAUCUCGGAAAGCCGGUCUCAGUUCGGAUUGGGGUCUGCAACUCGACCUCAUGAAGUCGGAGUCGCUAGUAAUCGCAGAUCAGCAACGCUGCGGUGAAUACGUUCCCGGGGCU